Molecule: RNA transcript, 991 nt
Organism: Pectinophora gossypiella (pink bollworm)
Lineage: Eukaryota; Metazoa; Arthropoda; Insecta; Lepidoptera; Gelechiidae
Exons: 3
Source: RefSeq, a predicted model, not a curated record
AACAAAGAUUUAGGUAGGUACCUAGACAACUAAAGAUAUUUGUUACGAACAUUUCGAGUCCUAAUAUCAGUAAUUUAUUAGCCGUCUGUGAUAGAAAUUAAUUCAAGAACUAGGCAGAAAACAGUGACUGUUAUUUACUGAAUUCCCCGAUAUUACAAUGGAAAACAAAAAACAAUUGGAAGAACUUCUUGAAAGCGACGACGAAUUGCCUGAUGCCUAUGAAGACAUUCCUGAAGUACCAGCAUAUCAAAAUGAUAACAGAUUUGAUGCUAUAGAGUUCCCAUGGAUAGAAAAUAAAAUCUUUUCCAUGCAAAAUGUCUCAGCCCCUAAAAUUUCUAUACAAAAUUCCAGUAAACAUGAACAAAAUAAAAAACCAAAUAAUGAUAUAAUUAUCAUAAAGGGCUUCCUACCUAAACAGGAUGUAUAUUGCUUGAAAUGCAUUGCAGAUAAUUCUUCAGAUGAUAUAUUUGUAUGGUUUUUAAAUUUCCUUAUACAUAAAGAUAUGCAAGCUGAUUACCCAUUUCUUAAAAGUUGUCUAAUUCCAGACGCGAUUCGCCAGGAAUCUUACAAGAGUUAUAAAAUACAUCCUAAAAGUAAAAGUACCUAUAAUAUUAUAUUUGCAAAGUAAUUAUAUUAUGUACCUUACCUACCUACAAUAGGGUAGUUUCCAACUACAUAGUCAAAUCCGUUACUUUUACUAUAGGUCAAAACACGAAAUUACUAAGGAUAUGUAUGAAAAAGUGACGUCAAAGAAAAACGUGAUAAUAUGUCGGACUUAUUACGUUUUUUUGAUUAUAAUUCUUAAAUAAGUUAAGUAGAAAAAAAAAUAUGUUUUUCGUUACUUUUAGAUCUGUCUUUACUUAGUGAUCAGAAUUUCAUAAUUUAUCUUGAACCUAGUACUCGACCCAUAGGUUGCUUAGGAAGAUAAUAUUGUAUGAGUGAAAAUAAUGAUGAUUAUGGGGUUUUUAAUAAUAAAAUUUUUAGAAUGUAA